UUGGAGGGCAAGUCUGGUGCCAGCAGCCGCGGUAAUUCCGGCUCCAAUAGCGUAUAUUAAAGUUGUUGCAGUUAAAAAGCUCGUAGUUGAAUUUCGAGAUCAAUUUGUUGGUCGUGCCUCGGUACGUACUGGCAAUUUUGGUUUCUCCCUUCUGAAGAACCAUGAUGUCAUUAAUUUGGUGUCAUGGGGAAUCAGGACCGUUACUUUGAAAAAAUUAGAGUGUUUAAAGCAGGC
This 234-nucleotide ribosomal RNA is filed under the name uncultured fungus. RNAcentral's name for it is "partial 18S ribosomal RNA". It matches the Rfam family "Eukaryotic small subunit ribosomal RNA", at positions 548 to 785 of the family's 1831-position model. Lineage: Eukaryota; Fungi. The record is from RNAcentral.